Molecule: ribosomal RNA, 628 nt
Filed under: uncultured Pandoraea sp.
Lineage: Bacteria; Pseudomonadati; Pseudomonadota; Betaproteobacteria; Burkholderiales; Burkholderiaceae
Description: bacterial SSU rRNA
Rfam family: Bacterial small subunit ribosomal RNA
Source: RNAcentral
AGCUAACGCGUGAAGUUGACCGCCUGGGGAGUACGGUCGCAAGAUUAAAACUCAAAGGAAUUGACGGGGACCCGCACAAGCGGUGGAUGAUGUGGAUUAAUUCGAUGCAACGCGAAAAACCUUACCUACCCUUGACAUGUACGGAAUCCUGCUGAGAGGUGGGAGUGCUCGAAAGAGAGCCGUAACACAGGUGCUGCAUGGCUGUCGUCAGCUCGUGUCGUGAGAUGUUGGGUUAAGUCCCGCAACGAGCGCAACCCUUGUCCUUAGUUGCUACGCAAGAGCACUCUAAGGAGACUGCCGGUGACAAACCGGAGGAAGGUGGGGAUGACGUCAAGUCCUCAUGGCCCUUAUGGGUAGGGCUUCACACGUCAUACAAUGGUCGGUACAGAGGGCUGCCAAACCGCGAGGUGGAGCUAACCCCAGAAAACCGAUCGUAGUCCGGAUCGCAGUCUGCAACUCGACUGCGUGAAGCUGGAAUCGCUAGUAAUCGCGGAUCAGCAUGUCGCGGUGAAUACGUUCCCGGGUCUUGUACACACCGCCCGUCACACCAUGGGAGUGGGUUUUGCCAGAAGUAGGUAGCCUAACCGAAAGGAGGGCGCUUACCACGGCAGGAUUCAUGACUGGGGUG